AACGAACGCUGGCGGCAUGCCUAACACAUGCAAGUCGAACGAGACCUUCGGGUCUAGUGGCGCACGGGUGCGUAACGCGUGGGAACCUGCCCUUAGGUUCGGAAUAACUCCCCGAAAGGGGUGCUAAUACCGGAUAAUGUCUUCGGACCAAAGAUUUAUCGCCUUUGGAUGGGCCCGCGUUGGAUUAGCUAGUUGGUAGGGUAAAAGCCUACCAAGGCGACGAUCCAUAGCUGGUCUGAGAGGAUGAUCAGCCACACUGGGACUGAGACACGGCCCAGACUCCUACGGGAGGCAGCAGUGGGGAAUAUUGGACAAUGGGCGAAAGCCUGAUCCAGCAAUGCCGCGUGAGUGAUGAAGGCCUUAGGGUUGUAAAGCUCUUUUACCCGGGAUGAUAAUGACAGUACCGGAGAAUAAGCGCCGGCUAACUCCGUG
RNAcentral lists this ribosomal RNA (432 nucleotides) under uncultured bacterium. RNAcentral describes it as "partial 16S ribosomal RNA". It matches the Rfam family "Bacterial small subunit ribosomal RNA", at positions 29 to 507 of the family's 1533-position model. The record is from RNAcentral.